This 460-nucleotide ribosomal RNA is filed under the name uncultured bacterium. RNAcentral's name for it is "partial 16S ribosomal RNA". It matches the Rfam family "Bacterial small subunit ribosomal RNA", at positions 338 to 795 of the family's 1533-position model. The record is from RNAcentral.
CCUACGGGAGGCAGCAGUGAGGAAUAUUGGGCAAUGGACGAGAGUCUGAACCAGCAAAGUAGCGUGAAGGAUGACUGCCCUAUGGGUUGUAAACUUCUUUUAUAAAGGAAUAAAACGAGGCACGUGUGCCUUUUUGCAUGUACUUUAUGAAUAAGGAUCGGCUAACUCCGUGCCAGCAGCCGCGGUAAUACGGAGGAUCCGAGCGUUAUCCGGAUUUAUUGGGUUGAAAGGGAGCGUAGACGGGUUGUUAAGUCAGUUGUGAAAGUUUGCGGCUCAACCGUAAAAUUGCAAUUGAUACUGGCAGUCUUGAGUACAGUUGAGGUAGGCGGAAUUCGUGGUGUAGCGGUGAAAUGCUUAGAUAUCACGAAGAACCCCGAUUGCGAAGGCAGCUUACUAAACUGUGACUGACAUUGAUGCUCGAAAGUGUGGGUAGCAAACAGGAUUAGAUACCCUUGUAGUC